AGGCCGUGCCUUAUUUGGAGUUUGUUAGUGUUUUUUCCAUGUUUAAUGUUGAGUUCCUGUCCUGCACACUUAUUUUGUAAUUCCACUUCCUUUUUCGAGUGUCCUGCAGCAGCUUUAUUUUGUCUCCCAGCGCACCUGUUUUGAGUUUAGUCGUACUAUUUAAGUCCAGCUGGCGCUGCGGUCUUUGUUGGGAGAUUGUUAUCUGUAUGGAUGCUGUUGAACGCUGUUCCCUUUUCUGAGGUUUCCAACACUUGUCUGAGAGCUGUCCAGCGAAGAAGGAUCCGAUCAGGAUGCCCACAAAAAAGAUGGUGGUGGUGAACGGCUUCUUCCACUGUUGGUCGCACACCAGGUCGAACUGAAAGAUGGACAUAAUCCAAGGUGAGCGUGUGCACUGGGGCAGCAUCUGUAGACCAGGCAUGGCGCCAGGGAUCGGACUCCCCAGCUUCUGGAUGGGGGAUCUGACCGGAGACUUGAGGUUCCUCAUCCUGUCGGUUGGCGACACGCCUAAAAGAGGGAAGCACCCAUCGUGAGCAUGCAGACUGACUCACCUCCGUCCUCAGCUUCCAGGAUUCCCUGAAGGUAUUUGAAGGACCCGGACUGUUUAGGCUCCGAGGACGGCUCCUCGUAGUCCGUCAGCAUCUUGUAGACGUGCGACUGCAUGUCCACGCCGUUGCGGCCCGCAGGGGACAGCUGGUGGGGCUCGGGGCUUGAUGAGACAGAAAAGGCGACACACAUCAGUUGUUUUGUAGCUUUGACGUGCAAAGUCCCAUGCUAACAGGAUUUUUGCUUGGCACUAAAAGAUGAGCUAUUAGCAUGUACAUGGACACAAAAGUAUUGGGACACAUUCCAACUACAGGAAGUUACUCUAACAGACCACUUUUGCUUUCGUUGAACUAUUGUGAUUAUUUUAUUGUGCUCGCCAUCUUUGUUCCUGUUCUUCCUCACUAGUCUCAUGCAACACUGAUGCUAAAGUGUCCGUCCGCCUCCCGCAGAUCAUUUUUUAAGGGGCCGUGGCAAAUUCCAAAAUUACUAUUUAAAAAGUGGAAUAAAGAAGCAGGCAGGUGAAAUGUAACAAUAAAAAGUUGCAAUGUUGACUGUUUUUUUUGCUCUAGAACGGUCAUUGCUAAAAAAUACAAAUAAA
Molecule: long non-coding RNA, 1141 nt
Organism: Nerophis lumbriciformis (worm pipefish)
Lineage: Eukaryota; Metazoa; Chordata; Actinopteri; Syngnathiformes; Syngnathidae
Source: RefSeq, a predicted model, not a curated record